RNAcentral lists this non-coding RNA (26 nucleotides) under Homo sapiens (human). The record is from RNAcentral. Lineage: Eukaryota; Metazoa; Chordata; Mammalia; Primates; Hominidae.
UGAAGAAGAGGACCUGGAUGAUGAUG